This 441-nucleotide ribosomal RNA is filed under the name uncultured bacterium. RNAcentral describes it as "partial 16S ribosomal RNA". It matches the Rfam family "Bacterial small subunit ribosomal RNA", at positions 338 to 795 of the family's 1533-position model. The record is from RNAcentral.
CCUACGGGAGGCUGCAGUCGUGAAUAUUGCGCAAUGGAGGAAACUCUGACGCAGUGACGCCGCGUGCAGGAAGAAGGUUUUCUGAUUGUAAACUGCUUUAGACAGGGAAGAAAAAAGACAGUACCUGUAGAAUAAGCUCCGGCUAACUACGUACCAGCAGCCGCGGUAAUACGUAGGGAGCAAGCGUUAUCCGGGUUUAUUGGGUGUAAAGGGUGCGUAGACGGAGAAGCAAGUGAGUUGUGAAAUCCCUCGGCUUAACUGAGGAACUGCAACUAAAACUACUUCCCUUGAGUACUGGAGAGGAAAGUGGAAUUCCUAGUGUAGCGGUGAAAUGCGUAGAUAUUAGGAGGAACACCGGUGGCGAAGGCGGCCUGCUGGACUGUGACUGACGUUGAGGCCCGAAGGCGUGGGGAGCAAACAGGAUUAGAUACCCCAGUAGUC